Molecule: ribosomal RNA, 403 nt
Filed under: uncultured bacterium
Lineage: Bacteria
Description: partial 16S ribosomal RNA
Rfam family: Bacterial small subunit ribosomal RNA
Source: RNAcentral
GACGAACGCUGGCGGCGUGCCUAAUACAUGCAAGUCGAACGCAGUGGGGACGGGUGAGUAACACGUGGGUAACCUCCCAUCAGAGGGGAUAACACUUGGAAACAGGUGCUAAACCGAUAUUGAUGGAUGGACCCGCGGUGCAUUAGCUAGUUGGUGAGGUAACGGCUCACCUGGGCGACGAUCUCUAGCAGGUCUUAGAGGUGGAUCAGCCAGACUGGGACUGAGACACGGCCCAGACUCCUACUGGAGGCAGCAGUGGGGAAUAUGUCACAAUGGGCGCAAGCCUGAUGCAGCCAUGCCGCGUGUAUGAAGAAGGCCUUAGGGUUGUAAAGUACUUUCAGCGGGGAGGCGUUACCCGCAGAAGAAGCACCGGCUAACUCCGUGCCAGCAGCCGCGGUAAUUC